RNAcentral lists this ribosomal RNA (522 nucleotides) under Triticum aestivum (bread wheat). Its description in RNAcentral is "partial small subunit ribosomal RNA". The record is from RNAcentral. Lineage: Eukaryota; Viridiplantae; Streptophyta; Magnoliopsida; Poales; Poaceae.
AUGACGUCUUCAAGCGCCCCCAAGGACAAAUUUUUCGAGAAGGUCAUCAACCCCUACCUCGUGGAGGUGCUGCAACACCCUCAAACCAUUGAGAUGCGUGAGGGGGUGCUGCACAUCCGCGAUGUUGGGGGACCAAGGAGGACCGGAAGCGUGGAGACAAGACUCGAAGCAAUGGAGCAACAAGUUUUGAAGUGCCAGGGGAUGGUGGAAUGCGGACUCAACGCCAACCACAUGAUGAUCGCGGAGUUCACCAACAACCACAAGCUGGAUGCCAAGAACAUUGGGGAGACCAUCUCCAAGCUUCACGAGAAAAUCGAGCACUUCCAAGCCCAGAUCUAUGACCUGCAAAACCAAAACUGUGAGUAUGAAUAUAGAUUCAAGAGGAUGAGUUUGGCUGCAGAUUUGAGGAUCUCGGAGACUCGAUCAUCCUUCUAUGAUGGUGAGCCUAUGCCUUGGAAGAUGGACGACAAGCCUAUAUCAUCAACAACUCCAUCAUCACCACCUCUGAAGAAAGAGACAUAA